AGUGAACGCUGGCGGCGUGCUUAACAUAUGCAAGUCGAACGAGAACGGAUUAUAGCUUGCUAUAAUUGUCAGCUAAGUGGCGCACGGGUGAGUAAUGUAUAGGUAAUAUGCCUCUUACUAAGGGAUAACAAUUGGAAACGAUUGCUAAUACCUUAUAUUCCUUUUUAUCAGAAGAUAAAAAGGGAAAGAUUUAUUGGUAAGAGAUUAGCCUGUAUUGUAUCAGUUAGUUGGUGGGGUAAUGGCCUACCAAGACGAUGACGCAUAACUGGUUUGAGAGGAUGAUCAGUCACACUGGUACUGAGACACGGUCCAGACUCCUACGGGAGGCAGCAGUGGGGAAUAUUGCACAAUGGACGAAAGUCUGAUGCAGCAACGCCGCGUGGAGGAUGACACAUUUCGGUGCGUAACCUCCUUUUAUAUAAGAAGAUAAUGACGGUAUUAUAUGAAUAAGCACCGGCUAACUCCGUGCCAGCCGCCGCCGUAA
This 484-nucleotide ribosomal RNA is filed under the name uncultured bacterium. Its description in RNAcentral is "partial 16S ribosomal RNA". It matches the Rfam family "Bacterial small subunit ribosomal RNA", at positions 29 to 523 of the family's 1533-position model. The record is from RNAcentral.